GAUGAACGCUGGCGGCGUGCCUAAUACAUGCAAGUCGAGCGAACAGACGAGGAGCUUGCUCCUCUGACGUUAGCGGCGGACGGGUGAGUAACACGUGUAUAACCUGCCUAUAAGACUGGGAUAACUUCGGGAAACCGGAUCUAAUACCGGAUAAUAUAUUGAACCGCAUGGUUCAAUAGUGAAAGACGGUUUUGCUGUCACUUGUAGAUGGAUCCGCGCCGCAUUAGCUAGUUGGUAAGGUAACGGCUUACCAAGGCAACGAUGCGUAGCCGACCUGAGAGGGGGAUAGGCAAACCUGGAACUGAGCAACGGUCCAGACUCCAAGGGGAGGCAGCAGGAGGAAAUCUGCAGCAAUGGGCGAAAGCUUGACGGAGCAACGCGGCGGGAGUGAUGAAGGUCUUCGGAUCGUAAAACUCUGUUAUUAGGGAAGAACAAAUGUGUAAGUAACUAUGCACGUCUGGACGGUACCUAAUCAGAAAGCCCCGGUUACCUACGU
Molecule: ribosomal RNA, 496 nt
Filed under: uncultured bacterium
Lineage: Bacteria
Description: partial 16S ribosomal RNA
Rfam family: Bacterial small subunit ribosomal RNA
Source: RNAcentral